This 292-nucleotide ribosomal RNA is filed under the name uncultured bacterium. Its description in RNAcentral is "partial 16S ribosomal RNA". The record is from RNAcentral.
GGACUACUGGGGUAUCUAAUCCUGUUUGCUCCCCACGCUUUCGUGCAUGAGCGUCAGUCUUGACCCAGGGGGCUGCCUUCGCCAUCGGUGUUCCUCCACAUCUCUACGCAUUUCACUGCUACACGUGGAAUUCUACCCCCCUCUGCCAGACUCCAGCCUUGCAGUCUCCAACGCAAUUCCCAGGUUAAGCCCGGGGAUUUCACGUCAGACUUACAAAACCGCCUGCGCACGCUUUACGCCCAGUAAUUCCGAUUAACGCUUGCACCCUACGUAUUACCGCGGCUGCUGGCAC